Aethalodelphis obliquidens (Pacific white-sided dolphin) is the source of this 191-nucleotide long non-coding RNA. RefSeq lists it as uncharacterized. The record is from RefSeq and is a predicted model, not a curated record. Lineage: Eukaryota; Metazoa; Chordata; Mammalia; Artiodactyla; Delphinidae. The transcript is spliced from 3 exons.
UUUUUCUGGGAUACCUCCAGCCACCAGAGGGCAGACAGCAGAAGCAAGAAUAACUACAAUCCUGCAGCAGGUGGAACAAAAACCAUGUUCGUAAAAAGAUAGACAAGAUAAAAAGGCAGAGGGCUAUGUACCAGAUGAAGGAACAAGAUAAAACCCCAGAAAAACAACUAAAUGAAGUAGAGAUAGGAAGC